Molecule: RNA transcript, 3516 nt
Organism: Homo sapiens (human)
Lineage: Eukaryota; Metazoa; Chordata; Mammalia; Primates; Hominidae
Gene: SLC4A11
Gene name: solute carrier family 4 member 11
Exons: 19
Source: RefSeq, marked reviewed
CCCUUUUGGACCAACGGCUCUGGCUUCCAGGCGGCCGGGACGCGGUCCCAGGACUGGAGACCGUUGCCUGUCGGCCCCCGUGUGACCCGGGGCGCGUGACGGGGGUCGGGGGAACUGCGCCUGCAAUGGGCGUUUAUGGCCCCCAGGACCGGUCUGAGAGUGAGAAGAGGGAUGUGCAGAGAGAUCCCCCGCCUUGGCAUCCGAGGAGAGAGGGGGAGAGGCCCGCUCGGGCCCGGUCCCUUCCUCUCGCUGCAGCGGGGCAGGGUUUUCUCAGGAAAACCUGGAUUAGCGAACAUGGUACUGGUACUAACUCGGUGGGAAGACAUCCCUGGAACGUCUCUCCUCCUCGCCUCUGGCCCGCCUGGGCAGCCCCUAGCAGAUGGGCUAAGCAAUUGAAUUUCUGAGAUUAAGGCUGGCUUCCCCUGCUAUGGGGCCCCCUCCCGAGCACUGUCCCCUGCUUCCCUUUCUCCCUAGGGUGGCGUGGGUUGCAUCCCUCGGAAGAGCGAAGGAAUGAGCCAGGUCGGGGGGCGGGGAGACAGGUGCACACAGGAGGUCCAGGGCUUGGUCCAUGGGGCUGGUGACCUUUCUGCUUCCCUUGCAGAAAACUCUCCCACCAUGUCGCAGAAUGGAUACUUCGAGGAUUCAAGCUACUACAAGUGUGACACAGAUGACACCUUCGAAGCCCGAGAGGAGAUCCUGGGGGAUGAGGCCUUCGACACUGCCAACUCCUCCAUCGUGUCUGGCGAGAGUAUCCGUUUUUUUGUCAAUGUCAACCUUGAGAUGCAGGCCACCAACACUGAGAAUGAAGCGACUUCCGGUGGCUGUGUGCUCCUGCACACCUCCCGAAAGUACCUGAAGUUAAAGAACUUCAAGGAAGAGAUCCGUGCGCACCGCGACCUAGAUGGCUUCCUGGCGCAGGCCAGCAUCGUCCUGAACGAGACGGCCACCUCCCUGGAUAACGUGCUGCGGACCAUGCUUCGCCGCUUCGCCAGGGACCCUGACAACAAUGAGCCCAACUGCAACCUGGACCUGCUCAUGGCCAUGCUCUUCACCGAUGCCGGGGCACCCAUGCGGGGUAAAGUCCACCUGCUGUCAGAUACCAUCCAAGGGGUCACCGCCACAGUGACAGGGGUGCGGUACCAGCAGUCGUGGCUCUGCAUCAUCUGUACCAUGAAGGCCCUACAGAAGCGGCACGUGUGCAUCAGCCGCCUGGUUCGCCCACAGAACUGGGGGGAGAAUUCCUGUGAGGUUCGGUUCGUCAUCCUGGUGCUGGCCCCACCCAAGAUGAAAAGCACUAAGACUGCGAUGGAGGUGGCGCGCACGUUUGCCACCAUGUUCUCGGAUAUCGCCUUCCGCCAGAAGCUCCUGGAGACCCGCACAGAGGAGGAAUUCAAGGAGGCCUUGGUGCAUCAGAGACAGCUGCUCACCAUGGUGAGCCACGGUCCAGUGGCGCCGAGAACGAAGGAACGCAGCACAGUCUCCCUCCCUGCCCACAGACACCCAGAGCCCCCAAAGUGCAAGGACUUUGUCCCUUUUGGGAAGGGCAUCCGGGAGGACAUCGCACGCAGGUUCCCCUUGUACCCCUUGGACUUCACUGAUGGCAUUAUUGGGAAAAACAAGGCUGUGGGCAAAUACAUCACCACCACCCUGUUCCUCUACUUCGCCUGCCUCCUGCCCACCAUCGCUUUCGGGUCUCUCAAUGACGAGAACACAGACGGGGCCAUCGACGUGCAGAAGACCAUAGCCGGGCAGAGCAUCGGGGGCCUGCUCUACGCGCUCUUCUCUGGGCAGCCAUUGGUGAUUCUGCUGACCACCGCGCCCCUGGCGCUCUACAUCCAGGUGAUUCGUGUCAUCUGUGAUGACUAUGACCUGGACUUCAACUCCUUCUACGCAUGGACGGGCCUGUGGAAUAGUUUCUUCCUUGCGCUUUAUGCCUUUUUCAACCUCAGCCUGGUCAUGAGUCUCUUCAAGAGGUGACUGGCCCUUCCGUCGACGGAGGAGAUCAUCGCCCUCUUCAUUUCCAUCACGUUUGUGCUGGAUGCCGUCAAGGGCACGGUUAAAAUCUUCUGGAAGUACUACUAUGGGCAUUACUUGGACGACUAUCACACAAAAAGGACUUCAUCCCUUGUCAGCCUGUCAGGCCUCGGCGCCAGCCUCAACGCCAGCCUCCACACUGCCCUCAACGCCAGCUUCCUCGCCAGCCCCACGGAGCUGCCCUCGGCCACACACUCAGGCCAGGCGACCGCCGUGCUCAGCCUCCUCAUCAUGCUGGGCACGCUCUGGCUGGGCUACACCCUCUACCAAUUCAAGAAGAGCCCCUACCUGCACCCCUGCGUGCGAGAGAUCCUGUCCGACUGCGCCCUGCCCAUCGCGGUGCUCGCCUUCUCCCUCAUCAGCUCCCAUGGCUUCCGGGAAAUCGAGAAUCCAGUCGCUGUCCCUGAGGGCCGUCAGCGGUGCCAUGGGCCUCGGCUUCCUGCUGUCCAUGCUCUUCUUCAUCGAGCAGAACUUGGUGGCCGCCUUGGUGAAUGCACCGGAGAACAGGCUGGUGAAGGGCACUGCCUACCACUGGGACCUCCUGCUCCUCGCCAUCAUCAACACAGGGCUGUCUCUGUUUGGGCUGCCUUGGAUCCAUGCCGCCUACCCCCACUCCCCGCUGCACGUGCGAGCCCUGGCCUUAGUGGAGGAGCGUGUGGAGAACGGACACAUCUAUGACACGAUUGUGAACGUGAAGGAGACGCGGCUGACCUCGCUGGGCGCCAGCGUCCUGGUGGGCCUGUCCCUGUUGCUGCUGCCGGUCCCGCUUCAGUGGAUCCCCAAGCCCGUGCUCUAUGGCCUCUUCCUCUACAUCGCGCUCACCUCCCUCGAUGGCAACCAGCUCGUCCAGCGCGUGGCCCUGCUGCUCAAGGAGCAGACUGCGUACCCCCCGACACACUACAUCCGGAGGGUGCCCCAGAGGAAGAUCCACUACUUCACGGGCCUGCAGGUGCUUCAGCUGCUGCUGCUGUGUGCCUUCGGCAUGAGCUCCCUGCCCUACAUGAAGAUGAUCUUUCCCCUCAUCAUGAUCGCCAUGAUCCCCAUCCGCUAUAUCCUGCUGCCCCGAAUCAUUGAAGCCAAGUACUUGGAUGUCAUGGACGCUGAGCACAGGCCUUGACUGGCAGACCCUGCCCACGCCCCAUUCGCCAGCCCUCCACGUCCUCCCAGGCUGGCUCUGGAGCUGUGAGGGGAGGUGUAGGUGUGUGGGUGACUGCUCUGUGCUGCGCCUUCUCAUGGCUGACUCAGGCCUGGGGCAUCUGGGCAUUGUAGGGGUGCAGUGGUAUGUGCCCACCCCUCUCCCAUUAUCCUUUAGCUUUAGGCCAAGAGCGUUGCUCAGGGCAGCUUCUGCCCAGGGUGGGUGGGACUGAGCAGGAUGGAUUUUCUUUUGAUAAAAGAGUCGAUGCCUGAAAGAGAAACCAUUUCCUUGAUUGUGUAAGGAACUUGCUGGACGCACAUUAGAGAAUAAAGCUCCUGUUUCUAGGC